RNAcentral lists this ribosomal RNA (497 nucleotides) under uncultured bacterium. RNAcentral describes it as "partial 16S ribosomal RNA". It matches the Rfam family "Bacterial small subunit ribosomal RNA", at positions 28 to 507 of the family's 1533-position model. The record is from RNAcentral.
GAUGAACGCUGGCGGCGUGCCUAAUACAUGCAAGUCGAGCGGACGGACCAGAGGUUGCACUGUUACUUGUUAGCCGCGGGCGUGAGAGUAACGCGUGGGUAACCCCCCUAUAAGAGUGGGAUAACUUCGAGAAUGCGGCGCUUAUACGGGAUAAUAUUUUUAACCGCAUGGUUCUAAAAUGAAAGACGGGCUUGCUGUCACCUAUCGAUGGAUCCGCGUUGCAUUAGCUAGUUGGUAAGGUAACGGCUUACCAAGGCGACGAUGCAUAGCCGAGCUGAGAGGGUGAUCCGCCCUGCUGGAAUGGAGAGACGGUCUAGACCCCUACGGGAGGCAGCAGUAGGGAGUCAUCCGGCAGUGGCGAAAGCCUGACGGAGCAACGCCGCGUGAUUGAUGGAGGUCUUCGGAUCGUAAAACUCUGUUAUUAGGGAAGAACAUAUGUGUAAGUAACUGUGCACAUCGUGACGGUACCUAAUCAGAAAGCAACGGCUAACUACGUG